UACGUAGGUGACAAGCGUUGUCCGGAAUUAUUGGGCGUAAAGGGCUCGUAGGCGGUUUGUCGCGUCGGGUGUGAAAAUCCAGGGCUUAACUCUGGACUGGCUUCCGAUACGGGCAGACUAGAGGUAUGCAGGGGAGAACGGAAUUCCUGGUGUAGCGGUGAAAUGCGCAGAUAUCAGGAGGAACACCGGUGGCGAAGGCGGUUCUCUGGGCAUUACCUGACGCUGAGGAGCGAAAGUGUGGGGAGCGAACAGG
RNAcentral lists this ribosomal RNA (253 nucleotides) under uncultured bacterium. RNAcentral's name for it is "partial 16S ribosomal RNA". It matches the Rfam family "Bacterial small subunit ribosomal RNA", at positions 524 to 776 of the family's 1533-position model. The record is from RNAcentral.